CUCGAUAUUAAAUCGAGAAAAAUAUGAUUUUUAUAGUUUUCAAAUGGUUUCGAAUGAAUGAUGAAAUUAAAGAAAUCAAAUUUGCAUUAUCAAACAAUAAUAAAAAACUAUGAGUAAUAAAGCAUAAACAUAAAAGAAAAUGUUAAAAGAAAUAAAAAUGCUACACAUAGGGGUAUCGAACCCACUACACUAAAGUCCUAGAAACCACUCCUCUCCACCAGGCCACUUACCAACUAGUUGUUAUUUUAAUACUAACUUAAAUAUAUAAACCAAGAUAAAUAAAAAAAGAAUUAAAAAUAAAAAAAACUAAGAAAAAGGAAACUGUUGGACUAACCUAAUUAAACCCAGCCGCUUGGCUGUUGGGUUUUAGAGUUAAUGGAUUGGGGAAUAACAAAUACAUUAAUACCCUAUUAAAUAAAAGAAAUGGAAGACUUAA
This 436-nucleotide long non-coding RNA is filed under the name Lathyrus oleraceus (garden pea). RNAcentral describes it as "Pisum sativum (pea) long non-coding RNA (PSAT_LNC036597)". The record is from RNAcentral. Lineage: Eukaryota; Viridiplantae; Streptophyta; Magnoliopsida; Fabales; Fabaceae.